This is a long non-coding RNA of Carcharodon carcharias (great white shark), 2103 nucleotides long. RefSeq lists it as uncharacterized. The record is from RefSeq and is a predicted model, not a curated record. The transcript has 2 exons. Lineage: Eukaryota; Metazoa; Chordata; Chondrichthyes; Lamniformes; Lamnidae.
CCGCACAGGUAGCGCUGAGUGCUGCCGCUUGCAUAUUCCUCUGGGCGGGCCUUAAUUGGCCCGCCCGUGUAAAAUGGUGGUGCGGUGCUGAUUGUGGGUGGCGAUCAGCUUUGCGACUGCUCCCGCCGAUCCAGCCCAACACAGGAAAAAUUCUGCCCAUUAUUUCAAUACAUGUAGGAGACAGAUUAGUAUAUAUCCAACAGUUCCAAAAUAGCAGAAUAUGUUGAAUAGUGCAGUCUAAGGAAUCAGCUUCGAUUUUGGUUAGUAAAAUUGUUGACCAAACAUCAAAUAAUCUCAAAUCAGCAUCUAGUUCUGGGAUGUUUUAAAUCAAAUGUGUAAAUGAAGCACAGGGUUAUAGCAGUGACUUAAUCCGUGGAUAAAAAGCCUACUUGGCAUUACUACCAUGUGAAGCCUGAAGUAUUAUCUGAUACAUUUUCUGCAAAUACCUUUGACACAAAACUUGAACUUCCUGCCUGUCAGCUUCAUGCCUCAUUUAUUGCAAUUUUAAAAAUUCUGGCAGUUAGCUUCUGUUGCAAAAUAUAUUGGGAAGGAUUUUUAGGAUUGCAGAGUUUCCCCUCCCACCAGACACUGUCUGCCCCGCAGCAAUUUCACGCUCCAAUGAGUGUUUAUUAGCUGCAUGUAGGACUUCUGCCCCUCACCCGGGAGGAAGUUCCACCCUGGAGAGCUGCUGGCCAAUCUGAUUGGCUGACAGCUCUCCAGUCCCUGCAGUGCCAGAAGCUGCAGUGGUCAGGCCUGGGACUGCAUGCAGUCCCCAGAUCCUCAGUCCCGGAAUUCCAGGAAGAGUUUUUCAGAAGUCACCAUGAUGUUUGGCUUUCUCAACAAAGUCCUAUAUUGUGAUCACCAGUCUAUUUUAUCUGGUUACAGCUCAAUACAGGGUAAGCAUCAUCGAUUUCCUUCAGUAGUUCAAGAGAUUUCAUUUUUGUCUCGGCCUGCAACAAUAGCGACUGUCUCUCUAGCUUACCUGUACUGCAUAAGGUGGCUGCAUCACACUGGCAACUUGAACAUUGGAUUCUUGAAAGUUACUUACUGUGUACUGAAGCUUCCUGGAGCAUAUGGAGAAAGCUAAAUUUAUUUGCUUUUCUAAAAAAACAAAAUGGAAAGCAAACACAUUCUUUGAAAAUGAAACUUUUUCAUAUGUAACCCUUUUCAACCUGAAGCCAGGCUUCCUCAUAGACUCUGCACUUUCACUGAUACAGUAGAGCUGAAUAUCAGACCAUGUAGUUUACCCAGUCCUUGUGAAGGGCUGCCAAUACACGGUUUGCAGCCUUAUGGUUCCCUGGAUAACCAUGCGCAAAGCUUUAACACUGUAGCAAAGUCACAGAAAUUAGUCAUCUUCACUUCCGAUGAAAGGAGAGAGGUUUUAAAAAAAAAAACACGUUCACCAAUUUUCAUUUAAUUUGAAGUUGUCUUCACAAAUAUUAACAUCUUUUUAUUUUGGUAACUGGGAAUUGUAAAGAUAAUAAACCGUUUUUAAAAAAAAAAAGACUUGUAAAGUAGAAAGGACAAGUUUCUAAGAACAAUAAAAAAGGGCAAUGCUGUACAGUUGUGUAAAUGUCGCUAUUCAUAAAUGUUUUUUUGUGUAGCAUAGUGUAAAAUAAAUCAGACACGCUGAAUGCAGUGUUAAUCUGUGAAUUGUAAUUUAAAAAAAGCCAUGCAUGGUCAAUUAUUUACUUCACAAAUUGCUCAUUAUAGAUAAGGGAGUUUGUUAUAUGUUACUUUUAUGUGUGUCUGAAACUGCAUUUGUUGUGUAUUUUUAUUUCAAGAACUUGAAACUACUGUUGUUGAACUAUUCACUCCACAGCCAACAUAUAUACAGCCUUAGGAAGCCUUGUUGCUGCAUUAAUUAAUACUAGUGGGAAGGAAAGUCCGCCUACUCUGUCCAUCUUUCCGUCUGCCUGCCCUACUCCCUGCUCUACUAGUUUUGCAACAUUCACCAAGAUACUUCCAGUGCCAUUCAGAGUAAACCUGUGAAACUGGCCACAGAGCCCUGUAUUUUAAUUCUCACCACAACUCUAGCAGUUCAAUAGCUUGCAGCAACAGUACUGUGUACAAACAUAUUGCAAUAAAGCUUUACUAAGCACA